Molecule: ribosomal RNA, 514 nt
Filed under: Pinguitellina sp. Mo77438
Lineage: Eukaryota; Metazoa; Mollusca; Bivalvia; Cardiida; Tellinidae
Description: partial 16S ribosomal RNA
Rfam family: Bacterial large subunit ribosomal RNA
Source: RNAcentral
GGUUUAUUCAAAAACAUGGCUUUUUGUAUUAUGUAAGAGAAAAAGUCCGGCCUGCCCGGUGGAAAUUGUUCUAAACGGUUGCAGCUGCCACUGUACUAAGGUAGCGUAAUAGGUCGUCCUUUAAUUGGGGGAAAGUAUGAAUGGUCUAAUGAUGGAUCGGCUUUAUUGGAAAUAUUAUUUGAAGUUUAUUUUAUGGUGCAAAGGCCAUAAUAAAUUUAUUAGACGAGAAGACCCUGUUGAGCUUGUUAAGGUUACUUCUUUAGGAGUAAGCCUAGGUUUUUUCGGGGCCGAAAAGAAGGGAAUUAUAAUGCCUUCCAGAAUUAAUUAAGAUCCAACAUGGUUGAUAAGUAGAAGAUAGUUACCACAGGGAUAACAGCGCAAUCUUCCUGAUGAGGCCAUAUUUAAGGGUUGGUUUGCGACCUCGAUGUUGAAUCAGGGUAUCUUCUAGGUGUAGCAGCUUAGUAGAGUGGGACUGUUCGUCCUUUGAAACCCUACGUGAUCUGAGUUUCAGACC